RNAcentral lists this ribosomal RNA (964 nucleotides) under uncultured bacterium. RNAcentral describes it as "bacterial SSU rRNA". It matches the Rfam family "Bacterial small subunit ribosomal RNA", at positions 53 to 1009 of the family's 1533-position model. The record is from RNAcentral.
ACAUGCAAGUCGAGGGGCAGCAUCAUUAAAGCUUGCUUUGAUGGAUGGCGACCGGCGCACGGGUGAGUAACACGUAUCCAACCUGCCGACAACACUGGGAUAGCCUUUCGAAAGAAAGAUUAAUACCGGAUGGCAUAGUCUUCCCGCAUGGGAUGACUAUUAAAGAAUUUCGGUUGUCGAUGGGGAUGCGUUCCAUUAGGCAGUUGGCGGGGUAACGGCCCACCAAACCAACGAUGGAUAGGGGUUCUGAGAGGAAGGUCCCCCACAUUGGAACUGAGACACGGUCCAAACUCCUACGGGAGGCAGCAGUGAGGAAUAUUGGUCAAUGGACGAGAGUCUGAACCAGCCAAGUAGCGUGAAGGAUGACUGCCCUAUGGGUUGUAAACUUCUUUUAUACGGGAAUAAAGUGAGCCACGUGUGGCUUUUUGUAUGUACCGUAUGAAUAAGGAUCGGCUAACUCCGUGCCAGCAGCCGCGGUAAUACGGAGGAUCCGAGCGUUAUCCGGAUUUAUUGGGUUUAAAGGGAGCGUAGGCGGGUUGUUAAGUCAGUUGUGAAAGUUUGCGGCUCAACCGUAAAAUUGCAGUUGAUACUGGCGACCUUGAGUGCAACAGAGGUAGGCGGAAUUCGUGGUGUAGCGGUGAAAUGCUUAGAUAUCACGAAGAACUCCGAUUGCGAAGGCAGCUUACUGGAUUGUAACUGACGCUGAUGCUCGAAAGUGUGGGUAUCAAACAGGAUUAGAUACCCUGGUAGUCCACACAGUAAACGAUGAAUACUCGCUGUUGGCGAUAUACGGUCAGCGGCCAAGCGAAAGCAUUAAGUAUUCCACCUGGGGAGUACGCCGGCAACGGUGAAACUCAAAGGAAUUGACGGGGGCCCGCACAAGCGGAGGAACAUGUGGUUUAAUUCGAUGAUACGCGAGGAACCUUACCCGGGCUUAAAUUGCAACUGACUGAACCGGAAACGG